This 975-nucleotide long non-coding RNA is filed under the name Homo sapiens (human). Its description in RNAcentral is "HSALNT0328701". Lineage: Eukaryota; Metazoa; Chordata; Mammalia; Primates; Hominidae. The record is from RNAcentral.
AUAAAAAUAAUGCAUUGUAUGCCGGAAGGGAUAAAUCUGGGGCUGAGUACAAGCAAAACAAGACCAAAGGAAGCUACCUGAGCAGGUAUUCCAGAUACUCAUGUCAUACACCAAGGUUGUACCAGUGCCCCUUUCUCUGUGACACAUCCAUCCACUGGAAACUUUCGUACAACUAGCUGAAAGAAGAGAAACAUCCUAUUUCAUGUCACUGGAGCCCUAAUGAUCGCAGCCAUUUCAGGAAAUGCCAUCAAUUACAGUGAGGAGCUCAUUCAGAAGUGAAAGAUGAGUUCCAUUCUCUGUUACUUAGAGGACAAUAGAUUAUAUUGGAUGUAGAUGAAGUUUGGGCAGAAUCAGGGAUCAAUGGCUCCAUCUAAAUUGUUGCACCAAAACACAGACAUACACCUGCUUUUAGAUUUGAAGAGUGAAUCCUCUCUGGAAAAUGUAGCAACUACUCAAAAAAGGUUGGAGGACCAACACUUCUAAGAAGCAGGAGCUGGAGGGAGGAUGGCAUUUCAAGAGGUGGCAAGUGGUCCUUCUUCACAGUCAUAUCUCUCAUUCUGCAAGCCAAAGACUCAAUCUGCAUAAUAUUCCAUGGUGUAUAUAUACCACAUUCUUUUCCCAGUCAUCAAUCACUGGACGCUUAAGUUGAGUAAUGGCUUUUUAUUGAGGGUAUUACAAAGCUCAAAUCUGAGAAAACCUUGUCUACCAUCAACCCUGACCUACAGAGGAGAGGCACCCCCAAGCUUAUUAGUGAUCCUGUCUCCGUCUUAUUGGCACAUCCUGAUGGCCUUGAUCUCUAGUUCUUCCUGUGGAGCAUAACCAUAUGGUUCUUUGCCAAGAUGUUAAGACCAAAGUCGGAGAGUGAACCCCAUGUCAAUGAAUUCUUGUUUUUCUGAUCUUACAUUCCAUCACUUUGAUCCAGUACUCUCAAAAUGCAAUCACAGUUGUACAUGUCUUCUCCUGUCAAUAAACGCU